Molecule: long non-coding RNA, 2602 nt
Organism: Stegostoma tigrinum
Lineage: Eukaryota; Metazoa; Chordata; Chondrichthyes; Orectolobiformes; Stegostomatidae
Exons: 3
Source: RefSeq, a predicted model, not a curated record
AGUUUAUUCCCUGUGUCAUCAUUAGCAGGACUCGUGGUGCUGGAGAAAGCUAUAGCAGUGGUGUCUGGCUGUGGGUAUUGACAUUUAUAGGCUCUUUUCAUUUUAUGAAGGCAUCACUAGCUGGGCCAACAUUUAUUGCUUGUCCUCAAGAAGAUGGUGGUAAGCUGCCUUCUUGAACCAUUGAAGUCCACUGUGGUCCACGUUCACCCAGCAUGUGAUGGGACGUCGCCAGAGCCAGAGCACGUGGCCCAAGUUCCGGAGCGGGAGCAGAGCAAGUCGCGACCGGAGCCUGGAACGUGGACCGAGUCGCGGACGGAGACAAGGGCCGAAUCCCAGAGUGGGCAUCAGAGCGAGUUGUGUGCCAAUUCCCAGAGUAGAGGCACAGCGAGUCGCGACCGUACCCAGGGUCAAGUACAGGCCAAAUUCCAGAGUGGGGAGCAGAGCAAGUCGCGAGUCGACUCCCAGAACGUGGACAGAACGAGUCGCCAGCCAAGUCCCAAAGCAGAAAUCAGAGCGAGUUGCGGACCAAGUCCCCAACUGUUUUCUCUCUCUUUGGACUCUAUCCCCACCUAUUUCCAGCAAUUUCUGUUUUUGAUACUAUUCUUGUUUGAAUUUAUACAGGUCCCAUCCUCCUUAGAAAGGAACUCAGUAAUCCAGGAAUCCGAGGCCCCAUUCUCUUCCUCCAAAUUGUCAGCAAUGUAUUCAUCGAUUCUGUCUGCCUAUUAGCACACCAUAUAGGGAGAAAUCUAGAGAUUACAACCUUUGACGUUCUUUUUAAAAAAUCUGCUCCCAAAAUUCUUAUUGCAGGAUCUCAUUCCUCUAUCUACCUAUGUUGUUGAUCCCAAUUGAACCAUGAGCUCUGACAAAUUGCCUACCCAUUCAGAAAACCAUGAAGCAGUUUCGUGCAAUCCAUGACCCUGGUCCCGGAGAGGCAACACACCAUCCUGAGUCAUGUCUGUGGCUGCAGGAAUGUCUAUCUGUACCUCCUUACUAUUGAAUCUCUUAACACUAUAGCACACUCUCUCAUUCUACUCCCAGUUUGUGCAGCUGGGCUCUGGUUGCACUCCCCAGAGGAACUGUCAGUUGUAUUUUUUUGCUCUGAUUAGCAUUUCUUCCUGGAUACAAACCCAUGUAAUUCAUGUUGCCAUGGGGAUAUGCUUUUAGGAUGGAACAGGUUAGAAUGCAACAGGUUACAGUAAACCAUUGUUGCAUCAGCUUAUUAGCAAUUGUUUAAACUCCUGGAACUGAACAGAAACACAAGUCUGUAAGACCCAGGGACAGAGGGAAUACACAAAGAGACAGAUGACCAGUCUCUGUUGUCCAACACAUAGAAUGCAGCCAGGACUAAAUUCAUGGAGAUUUAAAUGAGACUACUAAAUUUGUCAAAAUUUGAUUAGAGAGAGGAAUCUACAGGUUAACUCUCACUAGGAGGGCCAGUUUGGGGAUUAGAAAUUUUCUGGCUGGGAAAAGGAAAUCGAAACAAGCCUUCAGAAGAUAUGAAUCAAUUUCAACCAGCUUCCUGAAAAAUGAAGUAUUACUGCAACAUGGAAUUUUCACACAGAUGAAUAGUUGCAUGGGGGAUGUUCAAAGAAUCAUAGAAUCGCUACAGUGUGGGAGCUGGUCAUUCAGCCCAUUGAGUCCACACUGACCCUCUGAAGAGCAUCCUGCCCAGACCCAUCCCCUAUCCUAUCCCUGUAACUCUGCAUUUCUCAUGGCUAAUCUAGCUAGCCUGCGCAUCUCUGGACACUAUGAGCAAUUUAGCAUGGCCAAUCCACCUAAAUUGCACAUUUCUCCUGUUGCAGGAAACCAGAGCACCCAGGCAAGCUCCACGCAGUCACCCAAGCGUAGAAUCGAACCUGGGUUCCUGGUGCUGUGAGGCAGUAGUGUUAACUACUAAACUGUAUAAGUUCUGACUGUAACAGUAUUUAGGAAAUCUUACAUUUAGUUUGAUUUUACAGUAAAAGUCUUAAAAUACUUUGAUGCUUCCAGAUAGUCACUGGAAAGAUGUAAAUCUAAAAGUUACGUGCCUCUUCAGAGAUCAUAAAAAUAAAAAUGUUAACAGAGCCAUUUCGACAGGGACUGUUUCCACACCAUAGGGAUCCUACGGAAGUUAAAGAGAUUCCAGUCAGACCAAUACAAUUUAAAACUGUAUUUCAAAUUCAUUAUGAUAGAACUGCAAAUCAUAUGGUUGGCCUUUAAAGGUAUAAAUGAUGCUGACAAUUUUAGAAUAAAUGGCAACUUGGACGUUAAACACCAGUGAGCAUACCAGCAUUUCAAUUAUGCUACUGACUAAUUUUGGAAAUACAAUGUCAAACUCUGUGAAAAAUACAGUUUGUAUAUAAUAGAAUUUCUUGUUCCUUGUUCAAACCUAUGCCUUCUGAAAAGUCAAGGAGAAUUGACAGGAAACUUGUGCAGAAGCCACAUUUUUAAUAUAUUGUAAGGGGAGGACCAAUGGCUAACAAUGGUUUUCCAAGCAGUUUUCAUAUUUCAGUUCACAUUCAGUCACACUUCAAAUGACUGAGUUUAUUUAUAUCAUAGUUAAAAUGUAAGCAUGAUCAAAGCUUCAGUGUUUGUAAAUAUGUAAAACAAAAUUACCAGUUUU